ACUAAAGGGAAAGUUUAUUUAAAGUCUUUGAAAACUUGUUCCCCGUAUCAUCCAACUGAAAGUCUUGCCCAGUGAACUCUACUCCUGGUACCGGACGUGGUUGCUCUUCACUUGCUGGUCAUGUCCGGUUAGGCUGAUUCAACCUUAAACCAGAGUGUCCAUUCUCAACCUGUGGCUUGUGACCUCAUUGGCAAACCACCACCUGCAAUAACAUUCAUAAGAGAAAUGGAUUCACAGAUGCUUCUCACCUUAGUUGUUCAGUGGAACUCACACACUGCCCAAGCCUGUCUGGGGUCCUCCAAGAAGUCUCCAGUUCCCUUCUCUUCUCUGAGGCCCCUGGGGCAUGUAGUACCCUGAAGCCUGGCUUGGUGUCACAACAGAACCACGGUGGAUCCUUGCCCGUGUCUUCAAUUAUAGGGUGAUUCAUUCAGCCGUUUUCUCCAGUCCAAGUAAACUUUGCUGCAACCUUCUUGGACAUAAUUCUGGAAUUAACUCUUUCUUCAUAAAGACAGUCAUUACUAUCAGAAAA
Molecule: long non-coding RNA, 529 nt
Filed under: Mus caroli (Ryukyu mouse)
Lineage: Eukaryota; Metazoa; Chordata; Mammalia; Rodentia; Muridae
Description: lncRNA (MGP_CAROLIEiJ_G0006053.1)
Source: RNAcentral